UACGUAGGGUGCAAGCGUUAAUCGGAAUUACUGGGCGUAAAGCGUGCGCAGGCGGUUUUGUAAGUCAGAUGUGAAAUCCCCGGGCUUAACCUGGGAAUGGCAUUUGUGACUGUCCGGCUAGAGUGUGUCAGAGGGGGGUAGAAUUCCACGUGUAGCAGUGAAAUGACGUAGAGAUGUGGAGGAAUACCGAUGGCGAAGGCAGCCCCCUGGGAUCAACACUA
Molecule: ribosomal RNA, 221 nt
Filed under: uncultured bacterium
Lineage: Bacteria
Description: partial 16S ribosomal RNA
Rfam family: Bacterial small subunit ribosomal RNA
Source: RNAcentral